RNAcentral lists this ribosomal RNA (461 nucleotides) under uncultured bacterium. Its description in RNAcentral is "bacterial SSU rRNA". It matches the Rfam family "Bacterial small subunit ribosomal RNA", at positions 28 to 507 of the family's 1533-position model. The record is from RNAcentral.
GACGAACGCUGGCGGCGUGCCUAACACAUGCAAGUCGAACGAAGAAUGUUUUCGGAAUAUUCUUAGUGGCGGACGGGUGAGUAACGCGUGAACAAUCUGCCCCGUACAAAGGGAUAGCCUCGGGAAACCGGGAUUAAAACCAUAUAACACUUAACUGCCGCAUGGUAGUGAAGUCAAAUCGAGUAAGAGGUAUGGGAUGAGUUCGCGUCUGAUUAGCUAGUUGGUGAGGUAAGGGCUCACCAAGGCGACGAUCAGUAGCCGGCCUGAGAGGGUGAACGGCCACACUGGAACUGAGACACGGUCCAGACUCCUACGGGAGGCAGCAGUGGGGAAUAUUGCACAAUGGAGGGAACUCUGAUGCAGCGACGCCGCGUGAGUGAAGAAGGUCUUCGGAUCGUAAAACUCUGUCCUUGGUGAAGAAAGGGACGGUAGCCAAGGAGGAAGCCCCGGCUAACUACGUG